GACGAACGCUGGCGGCGUGCUUAACACAUGCAAGUCGAACGGAAAGGCACUGCUUUUGUGGGGUGCUCGAGUGGCGAACGGGUGAGUAACACGUGAGUAACCUGCCCUUGACUUUGGGAUAACUUCAGGAAACUGGGGCUAAUACCGGAUAGGAGCUCCUGCUGCAUGGUGGGGGUUGGAAAGUUUCGGCGGUUGGGGAUGGACUCGCGGCUUAUCAGCUUGUUGGUGGGGUAGUGGCUUACCAAGGCUUUGACGGGUAGCCGGCCUGAGAGGGGGACCGGCCACAUUGGGACUGAGAUACGGACCAGACUGCUACGGGAGGCAGCAGUGGGGAAUAUUGCACAAUGGGCGGAAGCCUGAUGCAGCAACGCCGCGUGCGGGAUGACGGCCUUCGGGUUGUAAACCGCUUUCGCCUGUGACGAAGCGUGAGUGACGGUAAUGGGUGAAGAAGCACCGGCUAACUACGUG
RNAcentral lists this ribosomal RNA (468 nucleotides) under uncultured bacterium. RNAcentral's name for it is "partial 16S ribosomal RNA". It matches the Rfam family "Bacterial small subunit ribosomal RNA", at positions 28 to 507 of the family's 1533-position model. The record is from RNAcentral.